RNAcentral lists this ribosomal RNA (497 nucleotides) under uncultured bacterium. RNAcentral's name for it is "partial 16S ribosomal RNA". It matches the Rfam family "Bacterial small subunit ribosomal RNA", at positions 28 to 507 of the family's 1533-position model. The record is from RNAcentral.
GAUGAACGCUGGCGGCGUGCCUAAUACAUGCAAGUCGAGCGAACAGACGAGGAGCUUGCUCCUCUGACGUUAGCGGCGGACGGGUGAGUAACACGUGGAUAACCUACCUAUAAGACUGGGAUAACUUCGGGAAACCGGAGCUAAUACCGUAUAACAUGUUGAACCGCAUGGUUCAACAGUGAAAGACGGUCUUGCUGUCACUUAUAGAUGGAUCCGCGCCGCAUUAGCUAGUUGGUAAGGUAACGGCUUACCAAGGCAACGAUGCGUAGCCGACCUGAGAGGGUGAUCGGCUACACUGGAACUGAGACACGGUCCAGACUCCUACGGGAGGCAGCAGUAGGGAAUCUUCCGCAAUGGGCGAAAGCCUGACGGAGCAACGCCGCGUGAGUGAAGAAGGUCUUCGGAUCGUAAAACUCUGUUAUUAGGGAAGAACAAAUGUGUAAGUAACUAUGCACGUCUUGACGGUACCUAAUCAGAAAGCCACGGCUAACUACGUG